Long non-coding RNA from Amyelois transitella, 1820 nucleotides. RefSeq lists it as uncharacterized. The transcript is spliced from 2 exons. NCBI's taxonomy places the organism in Eukaryota, Metazoa, Arthropoda, Insecta, Lepidoptera, Pyralidae. The record is from RefSeq and is a predicted model, not a curated record.
UGAUGUUAUCGAAUAUCUGUCAGGUUAUCGGCUGACUCGGUUUUGGCGUCAGAAAGGUUGUGACUUUACUGUGCAAAGUACCUAUAGGUGAAAGAAAGUGCCCUACGCGCAGUUAGCUAUGGGCAACUGCGGCGUUUCGCCUGUCAUCUUUAUCCUGCUCCUCGCCAGUACAGCUUCAGCACCAACACCACGCCUUCUCAAUCUGGUCACAGGAGUCACCACCGGCUUAGAGGUACCUCGAGACCUGAUCGCCAGCACGGGAAUAGGAACUGGUGCUAUGCAGCUAGUGAUAAACGUGUACACUGACAGCCAGGGAAAUAUUGAGGUGUAUACGAAUUAGGUGAAAUGUUGUUCAAUACUUAUGAUAGUGAUGCCAAAAUAAAUGCUAAUAAUAAUGGAAAAAGAUGCAAAAAGGACAAUGAAAUCAUUAAAAUAACUAAACUUAUAUGACGACGUACAGAUAGAGCCUAAACUGGUUUUAAAUUUUGAUAAUAAUUUUUAAAGUAUAUAGAUCAAACCUGAAAAUAUAGAGGAAACAAUAAUAAUAUGCAGCAACAGCACGACCAUAAUAUGAUCUUAAAAUCUAAAAUGUAGAUAAUGGAGGCCAAAGACAACUAAUACGCAGUAACGAUGAUAAUAUUACAAACGAUAAUGAAGUUAAUGCCGCGAUUUUAGAGACCAUUAGCACUAAAAGCUUGUUGUAACAGUCUAAAGUGAAGAGACACUCCACGUUAAAUAUUCAAGAGUCGAUUACCAAAAAUCCAGCUCUCGGGGAAAGCUUAAAUCGUUGGACGCACGUGCCUCAGCAGAAAUGGUGCUAAACAGCGAACCAUCCGAAAUAUUAAGCAAGCGAGUCUGUCAAAUUGAGAGUAUGCUCACAAUCUCAACACAGAUUUAUGGAGGAAAUAUAGGGGGUGUUGUGGAACACAUUUCUGAAAGCUUGAGUGCAUAUUUUCACUAUACACGUAUUCGUUCAGUACACAUGUUUUUUCAGUAGUAAUUAGAAAAGCAUUGUGACUAUAAUCAAGUCAUAAAAAUUUCUAAGCAAUAACUCGAUAUCUGUGAAAGGUAUUUUUAGUUUAUUUAAAAAUAUGCUUAUUUUGUAUUUAAUGUGAUAGCGAACACUUGGAUGGUGAUUAACAAAUCAUAGAAGUAAGGUUGUAAGUCGAUACAAAUAAUAAUAGUUAGUUCCAUAACUACAAAGGCAGCAGAAAUUUGAAACAUGCCUACUAUCUUUCUUUCUUUAAAAUCCUCGCGACUCUGUUCUACAACUUAGAGAUUUUCAAGUCAAUAGGACUCGCGCGCACCAUCUUAGACCUCAUCUUCCUUAGCAUCGGACAGAUUAAGGUCAAACACACUCAAAUUUUCAACGGACACAAAUCUGUGGCUCGUCUGAAAAUUAAGAAGUCCCUUCUCAAGUUAUUUUAGUAAAAAGAGAUCAAACGAGCUCGCACGAUGCCGGUUCAUUGCGAUCGAAUUCGAGUGCUCACAAAACACCUAACAAUAUUGCUAUCAAACGUAUUGUUAAGAGCGGAGGAUUGAAUGACACGUAUACUGUAAACGGUGAAGUAAUAUUGCCUUUGAUAGGUACUGAGAAUUUACGAGCGAGAUACUAAAGAACGUGAAGGGAAACGCACGAAGUAAAGUACAUUGAUAGGUAAAGUAGUAUAAAGUGGAUUGAUAUAUAAAGUGGAAUGCACUUUAAGUAGCUAACAAUAAUGUCUAUAGUUAAACCAAUGACAUAUAUGAAGUGAAGUGUGUACUAAAACAAAGACUAUAGUAAAACUAUUGACUAUAUUACAUCUAUCAUUUUAGUUAUA